Molecule: ribosomal RNA, 379 nt
Filed under: Salmonella enterica subsp. enterica serovar Brancaster
Lineage: Bacteria; Pseudomonadati; Pseudomonadota; Gammaproteobacteria; Enterobacterales; Enterobacteriaceae
Description: partial 23S ribosomal RNA
Rfam family: Bacterial large subunit ribosomal RNA
Source: RNAcentral
CGAUAGUGAACCAGUACCGUGAGGGAAAGGCGAAAAGAACCCCGGCGAGGGGAGUGAAAAAGAACCUGAAACCGUGUACGUACAAGCAGUGGGAGCCCCACCACUAAGCCAGUGGUGAACUCCACAUACGCAUCCUUUGCUGAGGAUACGGUUAACGGAGCGAAAGCGACGUUCAACCUCAAAAGAAGCAGAGGGGGCUUAGUGGUGGGGUGACUGCGUACCUUUUGUAUAAUGGGUCAGCGACUUAUAUUCUGUAGCAAGGUUAACCGAAUAGGGGAGCCGUAGGGAAACCGAGUCUUAAUUGGGCGUUAAGUUGCAGGGUAUAGACCCGAAACCCGGUGAUCUAGCCAUGGGCAGGUUGAAGGUUGGGUAACACUAA